This 583-nucleotide ribosomal RNA is filed under the name uncultured Bacilli bacterium. RNAcentral describes it as "bacterial SSU rRNA". It matches the Rfam family "Bacterial small subunit ribosomal RNA", at positions 74 to 644 of the family's 1533-position model. The record is from RNAcentral. Lineage: Bacteria; Bacillati; Bacillota; Bacilli.
AGGAGCUUGCUUCUCUGGACGAGUUGCGAACGGGUGAGUAACGCGUAGGUAACCUGCCUGGUAGCGGGGGAUAACUAUUGGAAACGAUAGCUAAUACCGCAUAACAGUAGAUGUUGCAUGACAUUUGCUUAAAAGGUGCAAUUGCAUCACUACCAGAUGGACCUGCGUUGUAUUAGCUAGUUGGUGGGGUAACGGCUCACCAAGGCGACGAUACAUAGCCGACCUGAGAGGGUGAUCGGCCACACUGGGACUGAGACACGGCCCAGACUCCUACGGGAGGCAGCAGUAGGGAAUCUUCGGCAAUGGACGGAAGUCUGACCGAGCAACGCCGCGUGAGUGAAGAAGGUUUUCGGAUCGUAAAGCUCUGUUGUAAGAGAAGAACGAGUGUGAGAGUGGAAAGUUCACACUGUGACGGUAUCUUACCAGAAAGGGACGGCUAACUACGUGCCAGCAGCCGCGGUAAUACGUAGGUCCCGAGCGUUGUCCGGAUUUAUUGGGCGUAAAGCGAGCGCAGGCGGUUAGAUAAGUCUGAAGUUAAAGGCUGUGGCUUAACCAUAGUACGCUUUGGAAACUGUUUAACUUG